UACGGGGGGGAGCAAGCGUUGUUCGGAUUUACUGGGCGUAAAGGGCGCGUAGGCGGCCACCGCAAGUCGACUGUGAAAUCUCCGGGCUUAACUCGGAAAGGUCAGCCGAUACUGCGGGGGCUAGAGUGCAGAAGGGGGCAACUGGAAUUCUCGGUGUAGCGGUGAAAUGCGUAGAUAUCGAGAGGAACACCUGCGGCGAAGGCGGCGCUCUGGGCCGGUACUGACGCUGAGGAGCGAAAGCGUGGGGAGCAAACAGG
RNAcentral lists this ribosomal RNA (257 nucleotides) under uncultured bacterium. RNAcentral describes it as "partial 16S ribosomal RNA". It matches the Rfam family "Bacterial small subunit ribosomal RNA", at positions 524 to 776 of the family's 1533-position model. The record is from RNAcentral.